GUUUGAGGACAGUUGCAUUUAGUUGUCUUUUCUGAGUUUUUUUGUAGACAAUUGAAGACUCACUCAAUGGAUCCAGCAGAAAAAGUUAAGAAGUUGGAUAGGAUUUUAGCCUUGGAAAUGGAAGUUUCCCAUAUAAAUUCCCAGAUAAAGAGUCUCAGUGAUCAAAAGCGAACUAAAACCUCGGAGAUUAUAGCAUUAAAAAGGGAACUAGGACUACUUUAUGAAGGUCAAGUAAGAACAAGGAAAAGGCCUUUCCCAAGAAAAUAAACUCAUUGAAUAACUUACUUACAUCUAACUUCUUGCACAUUCAACUUAUCUCACAUUUAACUUACAUGUAUCUCACACAUUUAUUGAUUAUUAGUGAUUGAUUAUUGCUGAGUCAUCGUCUUAAUGUUUGCUGACUCAUCAUUAAUUGUAAUAUUUACACUUGUUAACAAUACUUAACAUCAAUAAUAAA
Molecule: long non-coding RNA, 457 nt
Organism: Amphimedon queenslandica
Lineage: Eukaryota; Metazoa; Porifera; Demospongiae; Haplosclerida; Niphatidae
Exons: 3
Source: RefSeq, a predicted model, not a curated record